This is a long non-coding RNA of Sebastes umbrosus (honeycomb rockfish), 151 nucleotides long. RefSeq lists it as uncharacterized. The transcript has 3 exons. The record is from RefSeq and is a predicted model, not a curated record. NCBI's taxonomy places the organism in Eukaryota, Metazoa, Chordata, Actinopteri, Perciformes, Sebastidae.
UCAUGGUGUUCUAUGGUCGGUUAUUUCUUUAUAGCAGGCCGCUGCUAUGUAUAAAAAACUGUUGCUUUGGAUGCAGUUCUUACCUCAGACUCUGGAGGAGCAUUUUUGUAUCAAAUUAUUGAUUUCUUAAGCAAGUAGCCAUGUCAUCAGC